UGAUUCGGCCCAAACCAAUAACAUACAAAACUCGACCUCUAACCCACGGACCUGUUUGCUAAACCUCAAGCUCGUUCGCUCUCCCUGUAAAUUCUAAACCCUACUUGGACCAGAGAGAACCACCUGGAAAACAGUUUUGAAGCUACCAUGGGAGCUGAAAUUGAGGACAAUGGAGCAAUACAGAUACCGCCAACCCGAGUUGGGCACAUAAAGAAACGAGCUCUUAAGAACAAAGCUGUAUCUGUCUCUUUCAAAGAGAAAGAUCUCAGGGAUUAUGUUACCGGGUUUCAUAAGAGGAAGAAGAAGAGAAGGAAGGAAGCAAUUAAACAACAAGAGGAGAAGUUAAGGCUCAAGCGAAUCGCGUCGCGCAAACAGAGGAAACUGGAAAAAGAAUUUGCUUCACAUGGAGGAGCUCCACCAGCCACUAAUGAAAGUGACGAGUAUGAAGACAAUCAUGAACAAAGUGAGCCAAUUGCAUCAGUAAACGGGACAACAAAGUACGACAAUGGGGACAUGCAAGUCACUGUGACAACUAGUGAAAUUUCACGUGAAGAUAAAGAUGGCUCAAGUGAAAAGACACAAGCAGAAGUGCCAAGGUUGGUCGAAGCUGAUAAAACGCACAAGUUAUCCGUGAGCAAAAAGAAAUCAUUCAAGAAAGUUUCAAAACGCAAAUCACGGACAAAGCCACAAAAAAAAAGGGAUAGAAAGAAGGGAAAGGCGAAGAACAAGCUGUAGUUUACAGUUGAUCUUCUUGCCAUACGAAGCAUGGGGGGAUCAAACUGUGUUUUCUGCUGUUGGAAUACAUAGUUUAACAAAGGCUAAUUGCUGAGACAUUUAUGCCAGGCCAUGUAGAAAAUUGUUUUUGGGUGGCAGGUUCUAUCAGGGAAUCCUUCCUCUUUGCCCUCGGUUUUUACUCAAAAGUUUAAUGGCCAACGAUAACGAUGGUACGGGCAGCACAUCUGUUCUUGUGUAA
Molecule: RNA transcript, 973 nt
Organism: Populus nigra (black poplar)
Lineage: Eukaryota; Viridiplantae; Streptophyta; Magnoliopsida; Malpighiales; Salicaceae
Gene name: ribosomal RNA-processing protein 17-like
Exons: 5
Source: RefSeq, a predicted model, not a curated record